GAUGAACGCUGACAGCAUGCUUAACACAUGCAAGUCAACUUGAAUUUGGGUUUUUAACUUAGGUUUGGGUGGCGGACGGGUGAGUAACGCGUAAAGAACUUGCCUCACAGCUAGGGACAACAUUUGGAAACGAAUGCUAAUACCUAAUAUUAUGAUAAUAGGGCAUCCUAUAAUUAUGAAAGCUAUAAGCGCUGUGAGAGAGCUUUGCGUCCCAUUAGCUAGUUGGAGAGGUAACGGCUCACCAAGGCGAUGAUGGGUAGCCGGCCUGAGAGGGUGAUCGGCCACAAGGGGACUGAGACACGGCCCUUACUCCUACGGGAGGCAGCAGUGGGGAAUAUUGGACAAUGGACCGAGAGUCUGAUCCAGCAAUUCUGUGUGCACGAUGAAGUUUUUCGGAAUGUAAAGUGCCUUCAGUUGGGAAGAAACAAAUGACGGUACCAACAGAAGAAGUGACGGCUAAAUACGUG
This 467-nucleotide ribosomal RNA is filed under the name uncultured bacterium. RNAcentral describes it as "partial 16S ribosomal RNA". It matches the Rfam family "Bacterial small subunit ribosomal RNA", at positions 28 to 507 of the family's 1533-position model. The record is from RNAcentral.